GACGAACGCUGGCGGCGUGCUUAACACAUGCAAGUCGAACGAAGAGCGAUGGAAGCUUGCUUCUAUCAAUCUUAGUGGCGAACGGGUGAGUAACGCGUAAUCAACCUGCCCUUCAGAGGGGGACAACAGUUGGAAACGACUGCUAAUACCGCAUACGAUCCAAUCCCGGCAUCGAGAGUGGAUGAAAGGUGGCCUCUAUUUAUAAGCUAUCGCUGAAGGAGGGGAUUGCGUCUGAUUAGCUAGUUGGAGGGGUAACGGCCCACCAAGGCGAUGAUCAGUAGCCGGUCUGAGAGGAUGAACGGCCACAUUGGGACUGAGACACGGCCCAGACUCCUACGGGAGGCAGCAGUGGGGAAUCUUCCGCAAUGGACGAAAGUCUGACGGAGCAACGCCGCGUGAGUGAUGACGGCCUUCGGGUUGUAAAGCUCUGUUAAUCGGGACGAAUGGUUCUUGUGCAAAUAGUGCGAGGAUUUGACG
Molecule: ribosomal RNA, 477 nt
Filed under: Veillonella atypica
Lineage: Bacteria; Bacillati; Bacillota; Negativicutes; Veillonellales; Veillonellaceae
Description: bacterial SSU rRNA
Rfam family: Bacterial small subunit ribosomal RNA
Source: RNAcentral